UACUAAUGCAGUAACUGACGACAUUUGUGGAAAUGACCACUUGGAAGCUGCAUUUUUAUAUUGUCGGGUCGUCUGGGCAGAGAUA
This 85-nucleotide non-coding RNA is filed under the name Bacillus sp. (in: firmicutes). RNAcentral describes it as "Bacillus sp. ZTP sequence". It matches the Rfam family "ZMP/ZTP riboswitch aptamer (pfl RNA motif)". Rfam says of the family: Previously known as pfl RNA. ZMP is also known as AICAR. The record is from RNAcentral. Lineage: Bacteria; Bacillati; Bacillota; Bacilli; Caryophanales; Bacillaceae. RNAcentral also lists the same sequence under 1 other name.